UACGUAGGGUGCAAGCGUUGUCCGGAAUUAUUGGGCGUAAAGAGCUCGUAGGCGGUCUGUCGCGUCUGCUGUGAAAACUCAGGGCUUAACCCUGAGCUUGCAGUGGGUACGGGCAGACUAGAGUGCGGUAGGGGAGACUGGAAUUCCUGGUGUAGCGGUGAAAUGCGCAGAUAUCAGGAGGAACACCCGUGGCGAAGGCGGCUCUCUGGGUCCGCCCUGACGCUGAGGCGCGAAAGCGUGGGGAGCGAACGGG
This 253-nucleotide ribosomal RNA is filed under the name uncultured bacterium. Its description in RNAcentral is "partial 16S ribosomal RNA". It matches the Rfam family "Bacterial small subunit ribosomal RNA", at positions 524 to 776 of the family's 1533-position model. The record is from RNAcentral.